Molecule: long non-coding RNA, 314 nt
Organism: Tetranychus urticae (two-spotted spider mite)
Lineage: Eukaryota; Metazoa; Arthropoda; Arachnida; Trombidiformes; Tetranychidae
Source: RefSeq, a predicted model, not a curated record
GGGCUUUUAUAUCGAUCGAAUCGCUCCAUCCUGAUCGUUCUCAUCGUGUUCAUGUUUUGUCUCUCCUCUUCAUUAUUGGUUCCUCCUUGAAAUCUCACACACGUCCGAACACAAUCUCACUACAAUUGCUAUUAUCACUUGAAUAACUUCCUUCAACCUAAAACUUGACAACAGGAGAUGGAGAUAAGGAUGAGGAUGAUUCAGAUAGAGUUAAAAGGAAGGCCCAAGAAAAGUAAAAGUAACCCACCUUUAUCAACAAAUUUGGGAGGUUGGGACACUUCCGCUUUUUUGCAUUAAAAACCACUCGAAAAGGA